AGCCCCAUAGUUUUUCAAAAAUAUAAGAUUGCAAAUCUUAAGCAGCAGAUUAAUUUGUGCUGGGGCUU
Molecule: transfer RNA, 68 nt
Filed under: Careproctus colletti (Alaska snailfish)
Lineage: Eukaryota; Metazoa; Chordata; Actinopteri; Perciformes; Liparidae
Description: tRNA-Cys
Source: RNAcentral